GGUUGCCCCUUUUCGUGUGCAGGUCCACUUUGCCCAAUCCGCUCUGUGCAUUGCUUCGCUUCCAAUCCCAUCCUCUCAUGCCACUCCAAACCAGCCGCCACACAACCCUAACCCUCAUUCCCCUCCGUCCUUGUCGCUCGUCAUUGCCGCUGCCUGGUACUCCGCCUCGACCGUCGUUGCUGCUUCUUGAUCACAAUAGCCCCUCCAACUCUCCUUCCUUCUCUUCGUUGUCUAUAUGCGGCCGUCGGCGGCGCCUGGUUUCAGAUCAGGCGUAGGUUAGGCGAGCUUGAUGGUUGGUUGUGUGAGGCUACAAGGAGAGGGAGUAGGACGAGGACAAGGUGAAGGAGUAGGCCGGCCCUCAUGGGGGCGGCGCCAUUGGCUCGCCGGAUGCCAUCCCUCUAAACCCGAGCUUGCCUCACCCUUGCGGCGAUGACCAGUAGCUCGAGUAGGAAGGGUGAGGGGCCAUCAAGAUCUAGCCGGCGGCAUUCUCCCUGGCGUCCGGACACAGAGGACUGGCCUCUGGUCAUUUGUCACCAGUUGGUGCCUCUUCCCUCCUUGUGCCACCGUCCUCCAUCUCCUCCGUCCCUCGAUUCAGCCAAGGCGACGGGGAUCAAGAUCCGGGGCGGCACACAUCAUCAUCCCGUUGCCCCUCUAACUACCACCGAGCCUAGAGAUGGCAGUAGCAAGGAGCAUGAGAGGGGUUACUGGAUCAGGUGGUCCGUGCUGAAGAAGAGGGCGUUUGUAUGAUAUGGUUCAUGGCCUUGUUGUGGUAACACCAUGGUCCGUGGGGAACAAAAAUAACACCUCUGCUACAACGGAAGUCUGGACCUCCAUCGAUAAUGACAUCUCUAGAACACUCUGAGUGGGCUUACCUAUUUCUGUUGACAAAUCACUUUCUUAUCUUAAAAUACAUCAGUGAUUCCUGGAGUUCCGGAGAAACAUUCUUCUUAUUGUUUCCAUAUGAUCAAGAUAUGGCAAAGCCCUUCAUGGUAUUCAAGGGGAAUAUGCAACAUAUGUGGUGCCUUUUGUAAGCUAAGUCGUGUUAUUGAAGUAAUUGUUCUUCAGGUAUUCCUUUAAUUUUUUUAAUAUGAUGCCGAGAUAACCAUGGUGGCUCCUCUAUAGUGUUUGGCUUUCUCGGAAAUCUUUUCCUUUUGGCAAUUUCUUUUAUCGCUCAUUUUUUGGGAGUACUCUGUUGAUUCAUAUUACACCCUUAAUAAAGUUUUUGUUUCAGACCUGCAUUCAGUCAAUCAUCCAUUGGCACUUAAGUCCUGUGAAGCACCUAUAUUAUUAGUCAAAAUCUCAUUUUGUUGCAAUACAACAUUAACAUUGAUUCAAAGCUUGGUUCGGUUGUGAAUGCAACAUGUGUUUUUAUCUUUAUAAUAUUUAUUAUGUUGCUAAUUUCAGUGCUUCAGUUUUCUCAGUCGUCACAUGAACAUGAUGAACGUGAAGAGACAACGAAAGAACGAAAGAAGGGGAUAAAGUUCCUUGCAGCACCAAUAUUGAUAGCAUCUCGAGGGAUUGAUAGGGGACGCAUGUACCCAUUCGUCCCUCCGUAAGACUUGUCGUCGUCGUUCUUCUCCAAAUAUCUUGUCCCUACAGAGGUUAGUAAAUAAGUGGAAAAGAUAGAGAGAUAGGUCCUUGGUUUGGUUUCAGUCGGCAAAUAAUCUGGAAUAGUAGCGGUUGCUACCCACAUGAUUUGUUUUCAUAUACUUUAUAAUUCAGAGGCAGGUUGGAUUCUAGAAAUCAGAGUCAAUGGUGGAUCAGAGAGGUGUGUGUGCAUCAUGCUUCUAUUUGAAAAAAAUGUGAGCACUGUUUUGUUAGGUGUCAUCUUCUUACUUCAUGUUGCAGCCAGAAUAAAAUGCUUUGGUUUUACUUUGUGCUCGGUGUUGGUAGUUGGCAGUGCUGGAGUUAUUCACCCUCCGACAAAAUCCACUAAAAAUGAUAGGGAUACAUAUCUAACUUGCUCUAUCUAGCUCAUGCUUUGAGGAGCAGUUUGAUACUUGUGUUUCAUGUUUUUGGGGAGUUAUUCUGGCUGGUAUUUAUUGUGGUCAUUUCUUCCAUUAAUUUUUUUGAACUAACUUUGAUUUCUUCCAUCAUGAUGAGAUGCACUUUGAAACUUGUGUUUCAUGUUUUUUGGGGAGUUAUUCUGGCUGGUAUUUAUUCUGGUCAUUUCUUCCACCAAUUUGUUUAAACUCACUUUGAUUUCUGCCAUCAUGAAUGAAAAUAUGCUUUUCCUCUAUGAAGAGCCUGCUACAUACUAACUUUUGUCUAAUUGAUCAAUAAUGACUUUGUUAUUAGAGAAUUCCUUUUUGAUGGCAAGAGAAUGUUAUUUUGUUUUAUAUUUAGUUAUUUUAUUGGUGACCAGAGAAUAGAUAUGUUACAUUAUUCCUUUUUGCAUCAUUGAAUUCCAUUUAAUAUGAUAAAGAUGUUUUACAAAUAAAUGAUUUUCUUCAUGUGGCCAUGUUCCUUUGUUUAAUGCAGUUUGUUUUUCACCUAUGGUUGAGUACUCCCUAUGGUUAGAUGUCAAUCUUCUAAUUCAUCCACCAGAUUAUUUUUUGCGCCUUGUCCACCUUAGCAGUAAACUUAUAGUAGUAUUAUGUGUUGCUUGUUAUCUACCUCGAUGCCAUACUAAUUCUAUUAUUUCAAAAUUGCAGGCGCCAUAUUAGUUCAGUUGUUAUCUACCUUGAUACCAUACUAAUUUCUGUGAUUCCACACCAGUUCCUAUUGCCUGUUGGUGCAAGGACCCACGCCUUCCAUCUGAGAAAUGUAAAGGAUGGAUCAAUUGGCAUGGUCAGCUCAUGUAUAGUUCUUUGUCUCUCUGGAAGAUGACAUGCAUCUCACAACACAAUCCCAGGUUCAUGGAUUGCGAAAGCUACAAUGUAGAUGCAUUGUGCCUUUAUUUUCUGGGUACUAACUUCAUAUGUCCAGUUUGUUACUGUUACCUGUACCAAUGUAUCCUUAAGAUAUUAACUUUAGAUAAACAAUCUGCUUCA
Molecule: long non-coding RNA, 2993 nt
Organism: Triticum aestivum (bread wheat)
Lineage: Eukaryota; Viridiplantae; Streptophyta; Magnoliopsida; Poales; Poaceae
Exons: 3
Source: RefSeq, a predicted model, not a curated record